UACGUAGGGUGCAAGCGUUAAUCGGAAUUACUGGGCGUAAAGCGUGCGCAGGCGGUUGUGCAAGACAGAUGUGAAAUCCCCGGGCUCAACCUGGGAACUGCAUUUGUGACUGCUCAGCUUGAGUGCGGCAGAGGGGGAUGGAAUUCCGCGUGUAGCAGUGAAAUGCGUAGAUAUGCGGAGGAACACCGAUGGCGAAGGCAGCCCCCUGGGCCAAUACUGACGCUCAGGCACGAAAGCGUGGGGAGCAAACAGG
RNAcentral lists this ribosomal RNA (253 nucleotides) under uncultured bacterium. RNAcentral describes it as "partial 16S ribosomal RNA". It matches the Rfam family "Bacterial small subunit ribosomal RNA", at positions 524 to 776 of the family's 1533-position model. The record is from RNAcentral.